Long non-coding RNA from Oncorhynchus keta (chum salmon), 649 nucleotides. RefSeq lists it as uncharacterized. The transcript has 3 exons. The record is from RefSeq and is a predicted model, not a curated record. NCBI's taxonomy places the organism in Eukaryota, Metazoa, Chordata, Actinopteri, Salmoniformes, Salmonidae.
CAGGUUAGUGAACUCAGGACCAGGACCAGCUGGAUGAGGGGACUGAGGCUUCAGUGUGUUAGUAGAACAGGUUAGUGAACUCAGCCCCAGGACCAGCUGGAUGAGGGGACUGAGGCUUCAGUGUGUUAGUAGAACAGGUUAGUGAACUCAGCCCCAGGACCAGCUGGAUGAGGGGACUGAGGCUUCAGUGUGUUAGUAGAACAGGUUAGUGAACUCAGCCCCAGGACCAGCUGGAUGAGGGGACUGAGGCUUCAGUGUGUUAGUAGAACAGGUUAGUGAACUCAGCCCCAGGACCAGCUGGAUGAGGGGACUGAGGCUUCAGUGUGUUAGUAGAACAGGUUUGUGAACUCAGCACCAGGACCAGCUGGAUGAGGGGACUGAGGCUUCAGUGUGUUAGUAGAACAGGUUAGUGAACUCAGCACCAGGACCAGCUGGAUGAGGGGACUGAGGCUUCAGUGUGUUAGUAGAACAGGUUAGUGAACUCAGGACCAGCUGGAUGAGGGGACUGAGGCUUCAGUGUGUUAGUAGAACAGGUUAGUGAACUCAGGACCAGCUGGAUGAGGGGACUGAGGCUUCAGUGUGUUAGUAGAACAGGUUAGUGAACUCAGCACCAGGACCUGCUGGAUGAGGGGACUGAGGCUUCAGUGUG